This 121-nucleotide ribosomal RNA is filed under the name Jaculus jaculus (lesser Egyptian jerboa). Lineage: Eukaryota; Metazoa; Chordata; Mammalia; Rodentia; Dipodidae. The record is from RNAcentral.
GUCUAUAGCUGUACCACCCUGAACAUGCUCAAUCUUGUCUGAUCUGGGAAGGAAGCUAAGCAGGGUCUGGCCUGGUUAGUACUUGGAUGGGGGAAUACUUGGGGGAAAGGAGAGAUAAAAA